RNAcentral lists this long non-coding RNA (3963 nucleotides) under Xyrichtys novacula (pearly razorfish). The record is from RNAcentral. Lineage: Eukaryota; Metazoa; Chordata; Actinopteri; Labriformes; Labridae.
ACAAACAGGAGAUAGGAGCACUCAUCUUCUAUAAUUUUGUCCAUGUUGAGAAAGAUACAGGGGUAUAUAAUGUCCUAUAUAGAGGCAUUAUGGUAACUGUAAACCAAAGAUAACAUGUGAUGGCACCCGUUGAUUUUUAUACAGAUACAACUGAUUUCACCUGUUGACUAAAUUGAAACUACAACCCCAAGUCAGAAAAACUGGGACACAGUAAAAUGUUAAAGAGAAAGAAAACAUGAAACUUAAAAACAGAAAAAAAUGUUUAAAGAUAUUCUCAUUUUAUGCCUGAGGCCAGACUGGAUUUACUGUUAAAUGGUUGGCAUACUUUAAAAAUCGAUUUGAAUCAACAAUUUAUAGUGUGACUUUUUUUUAAAAUUGGGAUUUAAAAAAAAAAAAAAAAGAAUCAGCAUCUCAGGCUUCUGUGAAAUCAAGCAUCACUUUCUGUAUUUAAUCUUUCUGCUUCCCCAAACCUGUUAAAAAAAAAAAAAAAAAUCAUUUAACAAUAAUUGCCAAAGUGUAACUCGCAUGAAUGGGGUUGUUCUAUUACCAGUGUUUUAUUGCAGUAACAAAAAAAGUCCAACAGGUGGUGGUAGAGAGCCAGCUUUCAAGUCUAAACAAGCAGCUGUGGCCGUGAAAGGGCCCCAAAACACCUCAUGUGAACUCAUCCCUGAGGUAGUGCGAAAUGUGUGAGCUAAUCAGUCUAUGUAUAAAGAGACAUGCGAGCACAAGACUUCAUUUUAAAUUUGAUACAAAUAUGACUUGCAGAUCUUUUGAAACUUAAUUUAUUAUUAAAAAAAAGUUUCCUUGUAAAGGAGAUUAAAUAAUCUUCUUGUGAUUAACAUUUCUCUGUGUGUGCUAAUGACCUCCUCUGAGGUAAUUGAUUGUGCUCCCCUGUCUCAGUGUGUGGCCUUCUCCUAUCUCUGCUCUGCAUAUCUUAUUCAGAGCAGGUUCGCUGCUCAGGGCUGUGCUGACAUUUAGACAGGCCACUUCUUUUCAGAAAGAACUGUUGGCACUCGCAAACACACACACACACGCCCGCGCGCACACACACAGAUAACGGUGGUCAGAAAACCUUGUCAACUUUGAGUCCUGUUUUCUUUCCCUCUACCUUAAACUCUGUCUUUCUUCUGUCUCUCUUUCACCCUGGUGUCUGUUUAACUGAGUGUUUGUGUCAGUUUCUAAGCUCACCCUUUUUUUUCUUGCCUGGCAUCUUUAUCUACCUGUUUAAAAUUUACCAUUUUAGGAGCAUUUGCAUCCAUAUCUCCCAUUUAUGCCAAUCAUCUGUUUUCUGUGCUCCGCUCUUGUUUUUCUCAGUUUCCCCUUGAGUGUCACCACUUGAUAUCAAGGGGCGCGGUGCGAAAGAUAGCCCUCUUUCUUAGUAUGCUCGAUAUUUUCCCAUUAUGCAAAUGUGGCGCUGAAACAACUUCGUGACAGGUGCUGAUCUACCAAGGCAGGUGAUGUUUUUGUAGCCAAGGUGUGUGCAGAUUUGAUGUCCUUCCUGCCCUGCGAACCAAUAUGUAUCUCGAGCUCUCAUAUCAACAGAGUUUACAGAUAAACAGAUUCUUGUGUUGGACUCUCAAGGUUGUGAUAGUUUAAUGGCUCUUAUGUUAUUAUAUGUUCAGCUCCUCUACUCUGAUAGCAGCAUUUGUCAACAGAGCCCUUAAUCACAUUGUCAUACUUCAAAUAAGUAUCUAUAGCGUUACCCUUCAAAAAUGUUCACUUGAAUGUAACCUAGCAUAAUGAAAGCUAACUGUAAUAAGAGAUACCAUGUUUAGAGGGAUAUUCCAGCGUAAAAUUAAUUUAGGGUCAAACAACGUAACACUUAGUUAGACACCCCCUCGAGAGAUGAAUGUUGCCGUCCGCUUGCUUCUCUAGUUAUACCAUUUUUUCAUUACUUCAGUCAUUUCUUCAUGGAAAUGCAAUCAGACCGAGACGCUAAGGUAGAAGAACUACCACGUCUGCAGUGCAAAAUGAUUAAUAUGAUGAUUAUUACUUCAAGGAAAUGAUAAAGUAAUGAUCAUAAAUGUUCUUCCUUGAGCUGCGUCACCCCACUGUAGUCUGUAAUGGACCCUAAAUUAAUUUUACGCUGGAAUAUCUCUUAGGAAGUAUUUUAUAGUUAACAGUAAGCAGGAAGGCUUAUACUGCAGCCAGUCACCAGGGGGAGCUCUAUUUUAUUUAUUUAUUUAUUUUUUGCUUCAAUUUUGAGACACUGUCAUGUUCAUCAUCUUUAUUUAUUGUCUGUGGUGAGGAUUCACCUGUAAGCAUCAAACAGUUUCAAUCAAUAGCAUGUGUAUAGCUAUCAAAUAAGGGAUUAGUAGUCGUUUAAGCAUGAACUAGCAUUUAUAGAGUAUUGGAUUUGUAGUCCUUUGCAUGUAUGAUGUAUGAUUUUUUAUCUUAUUAGCACGAAAGUAGUUAUUUUCAGGAGAGGGCUGCUAAACUCAAGUACUUUUUUUAUAACCAUGGGAAGCCAAUACACAGUGAGAAUGCAAUCCUCUCUGAUCUCAUGUAUCAUCAUGGGUGUUCUCAAUGUUCACCUCCUGUCUUCUCAGUGUUAAAAAUGAAGGGCUGUACAGAACUGAGCUCACUGAGGUGAGAGCUGCCUGUGCUUGUAUGAUUUGGCACUGUUGCAUUUUCUAUUCCCCAGUGAGUCAUCUCUGCGCAGAUGUGUCCUCAUCUGUCUCACUCACUGUUCUUCGAGACCAUUACCCAAGAGUGCAGCAUACCUACACAGGCACACACCAUAUGAGCCCACCGAGCCAGCUGUUGUCACAGGGAAAUUACUGCCUAACCUUUAAUUUAUGCACUUUCUACUACUUGGACAGGGAUGUGAUUGAAGUAGAUAACCUGAGGCAGAGGACACAACACUGCGGAUGAUCUGGCAGGAAGUAUAUCAUCAGAGUAGGCGGUUGCUUUCUGUACAUCAGGAUAGAGAGAUUUGAGAAGUAUGUAAAUUCUGUCACAACACAUCAAAUACUUCAAUAUUCCAGGUUUCUUUCAUUUUGGUGUAUAUAUCUACGUCUAAAGACUGUUAAAGAGCCUCUCUUACAUCAAAUAUCUGGCUUUUGACCUGUUUUCUUUUAUGAAAACACGAGUGAGAGCUCUCCUUUUUUAUGGUACAAGGAUAAAACCAGCGUAGUGUCAAGGUUACUUUUAAAAUCCUCUUCCUUCACCUUUGUUUUCAGUGCAGACCCAUUAAUAAUGGCCCACACAGUGUCAUGACCAAGGGGCAGGUGCUGCUGACAACAUAUAAGCCUGUCUGUCUGUCUGUGUGUGUGUGUCGCUGUAAAUAGCCACCCACCACUGACACUGCAUUGUCUCCAUUUGUCAGAUGCUAUCAGUUUUAAUUAGAGAGAGCAGAAAAGCAACAGAGAGCAGAAACAGACACAGAGAACAAAAGAGCCAGAGAGUAGCAGCAGCUUCAUGAACUAAUAUCUAUGAUCCAUAAUUUUCUCCAUGUAAUCUUCACAGCUUUAUAAGAGAUUUUUAAGUAGCCUGACAACUUUUUCUUCUCCAUUACACUAAUUCUUUGUCCUUUCUUUUCUUUUCUCUUCUGCAAGUUAUCUCUGUGUGUGUGUGUUGAAAGCAGUGUUGGUGUAAAAGAUGCCAGGAUUUUGAACUACUUCUUUUCAAACUUGACUCCAUCAUAUUUUCUGACAGAAAGAAAAAACAGACUACCUGAAAGAAGAUGUUGCCGUGACGCAAAAGCAGCAAAAGUAUUUAACAAUUUCCUCUGUGGGACAUUCCACUCUUAGCCUGGUGUUAUCUUAUCCACACACUUCAAAAGGAGCAGAUCCACACCUGAGAAAGUCACUUAUAAGAUCCAAACAUUCAACUCAGGGGGGCACAGCACACAUGGCUGUUGUUUGGAUCAGGAUGAGAUUUCUCUGUCGACUCUCAAACAGCACCAGCUCUGAUUACACCCACCCUCUGUGAAACCACAAAGGGAACACUGACCCCUCCUCU